Pelodiscus sinensis (Chinese soft-shelled turtle) is the source of this 349-nucleotide long non-coding RNA. RefSeq lists it as uncharacterized. The record is from RefSeq and is a predicted model, not a curated record. Lineage: Eukaryota; Metazoa; Chordata; Testudines; Trionychidae.
ACAUUUUAUGACACAAAGUUGAUUAAAAAUAGACGCUGCAGGGCUAAAGAAAUACAACUGCUCAACACAGCAUCCAGAGGUGAACCAGGAUAUACAGCCGGUUACAGACUCUGACCUAAAGAAACUUGAAUGACAAGGCCAAGACUUUUGUUCCCGGAGCAGCAUCUUCUGGGAUGAAUUCUGCAUGUACACAGGCUUUAGAGCUGUCCCUCCAUCAAUUUCAGUGACACCAGCAGCAUAAGCGAGAGGUUAACCAGCUACUGGAUCAGCGUAUUGUUACGACUUGCCAGAUUGUUGAUGCCAUUUUUAAAGUGUACUACCUCAAACUAGAGACAGUACUCGAUCUGCG